CCUACGGGCGGCAGCAGUGAGGAAUAUUGGUCAAUGGGCGAGAGCCUGAACCAGCCAAGUCGCGUGAGGGAGUACUGCCCUAUGGGUUGUAAACCUCUUUUGUCGGGGAGCAAAAGCCGGACGUGUCCGGCUGUGAGAGUACCCGAAGAAAAAGCAUCGGCUAACUCCGUGCCAGCAGCCGCGGUAAUACGGAGGAUGCGAGCGUUAUCCGGAUGUAUUGGGGUUAAAGGGUGCGCAGGCGGAUUUUUAAGUCAGCGGUCAAAUCGUGGGGCUCAACCCCAUCCAGCCGUUGAAACUGGGGAUCUAGAGUGUGCGAGAGGAAUGCGGAAUGCGUGGUGUAGCGGUGAAAUGCAUGGAUAUCACGCAGAACCCCGAUUGCGAGGGCAGCAUACCGGUGCACAACUGACGCUCAGGCACGAAAGCGUGGGUAUCGAACAGGAUUAGAUACCCUUGUAGU
RNAcentral lists this ribosomal RNA (457 nucleotides) under uncultured bacterium. RNAcentral describes it as "partial 16S ribosomal RNA". It matches the Rfam family "Bacterial small subunit ribosomal RNA", at positions 338 to 794 of the family's 1533-position model. The record is from RNAcentral.